GCGGACCAUGGUCGAGAGCGGGCAAUGGCUGCUGCCUCACCGCGGCGUGGAGUUGUACGCGGAAAAGCCGCCGGUCUUCAUGUGGCUGCAGGCCGCU
This 97-nucleotide transfer RNA is filed under the name Stenotrophomonas maltophilia. RNAcentral describes it as "tRNA-???(ca)". Lineage: Bacteria; Pseudomonadati; Pseudomonadota; Gammaproteobacteria; Lysobacterales; Lysobacteraceae. The record is from RNAcentral.